GAAAGAAUGGGUGACAAAUUCAAAAAACAAUGUGUUAUUGUUUUGAUUUAUUUUGUUUUUAUUUCAAGUUGCCUGUUCCUAGAACUUUCUCAGGCAAACUGGGGAAAAUGGUUGACUCAAGGUUUGAAGUUGUUCGCCUCCGAGCAAGAGAAAUUGUUAGAGGAAGGAGGCACCCCAGUAAGACCAAGAACAGUUAGGACAUAUGUUGAUACAAUACAAAAAUGUAGCCCUUGGCUUUUUAAAGACGAGUUAUUAAGUAUAUCAAUGGGACCAUCAUGGUAUCCUGUAGAAGGAUUUUUCUUCAAGAAAGAGAUGGCUAGUUCUGUUUACUACAAUUGUCUAAGAUCUUGGUUUUUACAGACAUCUGAUUAAUUUACAAAGCUAAAGUGUUAAAAUAUCAACCACUAAAUAUGAAAUCAAGUACUCUUUACUUAUUAAGUUCCAUAAGGUAAUGUAUUUAAACAUUAUGUGUGUUUUCAUAA
RNAcentral lists this long non-coding RNA (482 nucleotides) under Marmota monax (woodchuck). The record is from RNAcentral. Lineage: Eukaryota; Metazoa; Chordata; Mammalia; Rodentia; Sciuridae.